GCGCCUGUAGCUCAGCUGGAUAGAGCAACGGACUUCUAAUCCGUAGGUCCUGGGUUCGAAUCCCCGCAGGCGUGCCA
This 77-nucleotide transfer RNA is filed under the name Deltaproteobacteria bacterium. RNAcentral's name for it is "tRNA-Arg". It matches the Rfam family "tRNA". Rfam says of the family: Transfer RNA (tRNA) molecules are approximately 80 nucleotides in length. Their secondary structure includes four short double-helical elements and three loops (D, anti-codon, and T loops). The record is from RNAcentral. RNAcentral also lists the same sequence under 1 other name. Lineage: Bacteria; Pseudomonadati; Myxococcota; Myxococcia.